AUGCAUGUCUAAGUACAAGCCCUAGCACGGUGAAACCGCGAAUGGCUCAUUAAAUCAGUUAUGGUUCCUUAGAUCGUACCUCAACUACUUGGAUAACUGUAGUAAUUCUAGAGCUAAUACAUGCUUCAAAGCUCCGACCUCUCGCUAGGGACGAGCGCUUUUAUUAGACCAAAACCAGUCGGGUGGCUUCGGCCCCUGUCAACACUUUGGUGACUCUGGAUAACUUUGUGCUGAUCGCACGGCCUCUGUGCCGGCGACGAAUCUUUCAAAUGUCUGCCCUAUCAAGUUUCGACGGUUGGUGACUUGCCAACCGUGCUGAUAACGGGUAGCGGGGAAUCAGGGUUCGAUUCCGGAGAGGGAGCAUGAGAAACGGCUACCACU
RNAcentral lists this ribosomal RNA (381 nucleotides) under Spionidae sp. USNM IZ 1448422. RNAcentral describes it as "SSU rRNA". It matches the Rfam family "Eukaryotic small subunit ribosomal RNA", at positions 51 to 414 of the family's 1831-position model. RNAcentral also lists the same sequence under 1 other name. The record is from RNAcentral. Lineage: Eukaryota; Metazoa; Annelida; Polychaeta; Spionida; Spionidae.